GACGAACGCUGGCGGCGUGCUUAACACAUGCAAGUCGAGCGGUAAGGCCCGUUUCGGGGGUACACGAGCGGCGAACGGGUGAGUAACACGUGGGUGACCUGCCCUCAGCUCUGGGAUAAGCCUAGGGGAAACCGGGUACUAAUACCGGAUAUGACUCCAUGACGCAUGUUGUGGGGUGGAAAGCCUUGUGCGGCUGAGGAUGGGCCCGCGGCCUAUCAGCUUGUUGGUGGGGUGAUGGCCUACCAAGGCGACGACGGGUAGCCGGCCUGAGAGGGCGACCGGCCACACGUGGGACUGAGACACGGCCCAGACUCCUACGGGAGGCAGCAGGUGGGGAAUCUUGCGCAAGUGGGCGAAAGCCUG
RNAcentral lists this ribosomal RNA (363 nucleotides) under uncultured bacterium. RNAcentral's name for it is "bacterial SSU rRNA". It matches the Rfam family "Bacterial small subunit ribosomal RNA", at positions 28 to 385 of the family's 1533-position model. The record is from RNAcentral.